UUUAGUUUCAGUUUUGUGAUGGAGUGAAAAGACCCAGGAAUCAAACAGGAUAACUACCAUCUGAAAGCCUUUGAUUUCUGCUGGAUAAUUCAGUGUUUACAGCAGAUGGUUUCUUCUUUGAAGAAAUGUGUUAUUAGCAGAACAUGAGAUGAAAAGGUGCAUGGGGAAGCAGACAGAAAAAAAAAUUAUGGCACCAAAAAAGUCAAGCAUGUUGAUCUGUGAAUGAAAACUUCCUUCUCCCCACCUCCCCCACAACAAAAUUCAAAAUAUAUUGGCUCUGGAACAGUAUUGGGUCUCUUGAUGCCUGUACAGCUGAAGACCAGGCAUGUCAUAAAGCCACUAUCCUUCCAGCCAAGGAAGACCAGAUGGGAGUUCCUUCAGAACCAUCAGUGUCUCACCUAAUUAGCUAGAAACAUUGUCUUUCAGUUAUAUGAAGAUCAGGGUCUAGUUGUCCAGUUCCUGUCACUUUUAUUGAACAGCCUGGUUCAGGAACUGAAAUAGAGCAAAGUUGUAGAGCAAAUUUAUCCAUUUAACAUUCACAAUGGUUGACCGGUACAAUGCAAAACCAUCGCAGCAGAGUUGCUCUCUGGGAGUCCUGUGGAAUCCUCUCCCAUGAAUAUAGAAAUUGAUUUUCUAUCUGCAUUUGUGGAAGCCUGAAGGGAGACAUUUUUCUCACGAUUAUACUGUCAACUGCUUUCUGUAAAUAUGAUAGGCUGUAGUGUUCACCAAUAUAUAGUUCCAGUAAGAAUAGGUACAAAUUCUAAAAAAAAUUACCCUGUAUAUUAAGCAAAGAAGAUCUACUUGUACCGCCUUUAGUAAUCCAGAUAAAGAUUUUCAAUAGUCUUGUCCAAAACCACAGCUGGAAUAAUAUUUAGGGCAGAAUUGUCAUACUGUGUACAUGGCCUUCGCUGUAAAGACCUUUAAUUUCAGUAUCAUUGUUUUACUUAACCCCUCAGUUCCUCUGCAAGGGGCCAUUAUCAUCUCUUUCUUGCAUUAGUGUUCUUUUGGUGCUGUGGAUAAGACAAUCAAAAUGAGGCC
Long non-coding RNA from Malaclemys terrapin pileata, 1038 nucleotides. RefSeq lists it as uncharacterized. NCBI's taxonomy places the organism in Eukaryota, Metazoa, Chordata, Testudines, Emydidae. The transcript has 5 exons. The record is from RefSeq and is a predicted model, not a curated record.